GAUGAACGCUGGCGGCGUGCCUAAUACAUGCAAGUCGAGCGAACGGACGAGAAGCUUGCUUCUCUGAUGUUAGCGGCGGACGGGUGAGUAACACGUGGGUAACCUACCUAUAAGACUGGGAUAACUUCGGGAAACCGGAGCUAAUACCGGAUAAUAUUUUGAACCGCAUGGUUCAAAAGUGAAAGACGGUCUUGCUGUCACUUAUAGAUGGAUCCGCGCUGCAUUAGCUAGUUGGUAAGGUAACGGCUUACCAAGGCAACGAUGCAUAGCCGACCUGAGAGGGUGAUCGGCCACACUGGAACUGAGACACGGUCCAGACUCCUACGGGAGGCAGCAGUAGGGAAUCUUCCGCAAUGGGCGAAAGCCUGACGGAGCAACGCCGCGUGAGUGAUGAAGGUCUUCGGAUCGUAAAACUCUGUUAUUAGGGAAGAACAUAUGUGUAAGUAACUGUGCGCAUCUUGACGGUACCUAAUCAGAAAGCCACGGCUAACUACGUG
This 497-nucleotide ribosomal RNA is filed under the name uncultured bacterium. RNAcentral's name for it is "partial 16S ribosomal RNA". It matches the Rfam family "Bacterial small subunit ribosomal RNA", at positions 28 to 507 of the family's 1533-position model. The record is from RNAcentral.